GCACUUGUAGCUCAGCUGGAUAGAGCAUCCGCCUUCUAAGCGGACGGUCAUAGGUUCGAAUCCUAUCAAGUGUA
RNAcentral lists this transfer RNA (74 nucleotides) under Maribacter sp. Its description in RNAcentral is "tRNA-Arg". It matches the Rfam family "tRNA". Rfam says of the family: Transfer RNA (tRNA) molecules are approximately 80 nucleotides in length. Their secondary structure includes four short double-helical elements and three loops (D, anti-codon, and T loops). Further hydrogen bonds mediate the characteristic L-shaped molecular structure. tRNAs have two regions of fundamental functional importance: the anti-codon, which is responsible for specific mRNA codon recognition, and the 3' end, to which the tRNAs corresponding amino acid is attached (by aminoacyl-tRNA synthetases). tRNAs cope with the degeneracy of the genetic code in two manners: having more than one tRNA (with a specific anti-codon) for a particular amino acid; and 'wobble' base-pairing, i.e. permitting non-standard base-pairing at the 3rd anti-codon position. The record is from RNAcentral. Lineage: Bacteria; Pseudomonadati; Bacteroidota; Flavobacteriia; Flavobacteriales; Flavobacteriaceae.